GUUUUGUUCACUCCAGAAAGAAAGAAAAAAGAUAAAGAAAGUUAAAUUGACGGAUGCGUCAACUGUUGCUGUGUGGCGUCUGUUGCUUGAAGCGAAUUCAGACGGUCGCGUGGUGAAAAUAAUGAGCAGAAACCACUCGGCCAAAAGCCUUGUGUGAGAGGAAGAGGACCAGGAGUCGUCAGUUAAGACUAUUCGGUCAGGUUUUUUUUCUGAGUGGAGAAAAAAAAAAAGAAUCAUCAGAUUGGAUUCAACGAUGGCGAGCUAACCCAGAGUGAUUGAAGAACCAAGAACAUCGAAUAUUCGGGAAUAACAGACGGACUGUCUGUGUGGUAGGAUUGUAUCAGUCAUCGGACUGAUACCUACAUUUUUUUUUUUCUUCCAAAGAGUGCACUCCAACGAACAUAGGGAAAAACUAUUGCAAUAGAAAAACUGAGACAUUGAAUUAGUUGCUAUUGCAACUAAUAAGGGACGAUUUUGAC
Long non-coding RNA from Corythoichthys intestinalis (scribbled pipefish), 479 nucleotides. RefSeq lists it as uncharacterized. NCBI's taxonomy places the organism in Eukaryota, Metazoa, Chordata, Actinopteri, Syngnathiformes, Syngnathidae. The transcript has 3 exons. The record is from RefSeq and is a predicted model, not a curated record.